CUUUGAACUGUUUGUUCCUGGUACUUCAAGUAUGAGGCUUUGCAAAUUGAAAUCACGAACAAAUUUUGAUAAUUCAUUUGGCAAAGUCUAUAAAACAAAAUAUGAAAAAGAAAACCAAUAAAAAUAAGAGAUAAUAAAGAUCAUGAACAUUUUAAAAAACUAACUUCAGAUGUGAAAAAUGAAUAGAAAAGGGAAUAUCUUACAAUUUUUGUUUGGCUGCAACGGUUUAAAUGGUCAAUACUGAAUUCAAAGGUAUGUACAUCCGGAAUUGGAUGAUCUGCAAAUCCUAAUGGAAAAAAACUUACUGCAUAAGUGUUAGGUGCAUCUUCAACUCCAGAAUUUUCCAAUCGUUCAGAAUAAUCUUCACCAUAUUUUUCAAGGAAUUCAGCGUAAUCCGAAUCAAUUUCUUCAUAAUUAUCACGGUGAAAUUGACU
RNAcentral lists this long non-coding RNA (434 nucleotides) under Trifolium pratense (red clover). RNAcentral's name for it is "long non-coding RNA (TPRA_LNC001743)". Lineage: Eukaryota; Viridiplantae; Streptophyta; Magnoliopsida; Fabales; Fabaceae. The record is from RNAcentral.